UACGUAGGUGACAAGCGUUGUCCGGAUUUACUGGGCGUAAAGAGCGCGCAGGCGGUCGUUCAAGUCGAGUGUGAAAGCCCCCGGCUCAACUGGGGAGGGUCAUUCGAUACUGAUCGACUCGAAGGCAGGAGAGGGUAGUGGAAUUCCCGGUGUAGUGGUGAAAUGCGUAGAUAUCGGGAGGAACACCAGCGGCGAAGGCGACUACCUGGCCUGUUCUUGACGCUGAGGCGCGAAAGCUAGGGGAGCAAACGGG
This 253-nucleotide ribosomal RNA is filed under the name uncultured bacterium. RNAcentral's name for it is "partial 16S ribosomal RNA". It matches the Rfam family "Bacterial small subunit ribosomal RNA", at positions 524 to 776 of the family's 1533-position model. The record is from RNAcentral.